Molecule: transfer RNA, 73 nt
Filed under: Minisyncoccota bacterium
Lineage: Bacteria; Bacillati; Minisyncoccota
Description: tRNA-Lys
Rfam family: tRNA
About the family: Transfer RNA (tRNA) molecules are approximately 80 nucleotides in length. Their secondary structure includes four short double-helical elements and three loops (D, anti-codon, and T loops).
Source: RNAcentral
CCACCCGUAGCUCAGCUGGUAGAGCACUCGACUCUUAAUCGAUUGGUCGUUGGUUCGAUUCCAACCGGGUGGA